UACGUAGGGUGCAAGCGUUGUCCGGAAUUAUUGGGCGUAAAGAGCUUGUAGGCGGUUUGUCGCGUCUGCUGUGAAAUUUCGGGGCUCAACCCCGAACUUGCAGUGGGUACGGGCAGACUAGAGUGUGGUAGGGGAGACUGGAAUUCCUGGUGUAGCGGUGAAAUGCGCAGAUAUCAGGAGGAACACCGAUGGCGAAGGCAGGUCUCUGGGCAGUAACUGACGCUGAGGAGCGAAAGCGUGGGGAGCGAACAGG
This 253-nucleotide ribosomal RNA is filed under the name uncultured bacterium. Its description in RNAcentral is "partial 16S ribosomal RNA". It matches the Rfam family "Bacterial small subunit ribosomal RNA", at positions 524 to 776 of the family's 1533-position model. The record is from RNAcentral.